Amborella trichopoda is the source of this 2552-nucleotide non-coding RNA. NCBI's taxonomy places the organism in Eukaryota, Viridiplantae, Streptophyta, Magnoliopsida, Amborellales, Amborellaceae. The record is from RefSeq and is a predicted model, not a curated record.
GAUUUGGUUUUAGCCGAGCCAUAGAUGUGAAGAGCUUGUUUGCGGGGUGACACUCCCACCUCGGAAUCUUGCUCCUGUGUUCCGGGAGUCAGAGCCCUAUUGGAGCUUGCUGCCGUCCAUCAAGUUGUGGCUAUCAUCAUUUGUUGAAAAGCGGCGAACUAACUUCGACUUGCCUCAAACCCGAAGGAACUACGAAGGAGACGUUUACAGAUAAAGGCGUCUGCUGCCAAGUCUAGAACUCUAAAAAAUUUGAAAGGAGCCAGUAAACACAAAUUUAUCUCACAAGAGAGUCAAACUAGAUCUGCAGGUGCCCUUGCCGAGACUUUGAGUGCCUCUACAGUAGAGGGUACCUGUAUAAAGGAACAAGUAAGCACAUGGUUCUUAAUUGGAUUAAGUGAUGACCCCUUAUUUUUUUAUAAAUGUGCUGGUGUUUUUGUGAUUUGUCAGUAAUAAGAUUAAUUCAUGAAUGCAUUGUGAGUGAUGAAAUGUUGUGCUUAACCCAUAGUCUCUAAACUAAUCUUUCUGUGACCUGUUAAGAAUUUAAAUGUUAGCUUGAGUGGCAAAUUAUCAGUAGAAUUGUAAUGCUUCUAAAAAGGAAAGGCUGAGAAAAUUGGUGAGAUAGUUUGAGGACUAGGCUUAGGCUGGGCCUUGUUCUUAGUUGGGCUGAAGUUGAAUUGCUAAGUACCAAAACUGCUCAGCAAUUCCGUACCAAGUCUUUGAAGUUUUCUUUAAGAACAAAAAAUUUUCAAAUUUAAAAAUAGGAAAAGAUAUGUAGAAAGGGAAAAACUUGUUGGCUUAUUCUCUUUCCUAAUCAUCGAAUACAAAAAACCUUUAUUUAUUUAUAAUAUUGACCUGUUGAAAUCAAAGGUAUAUAUGAGGUUGAAUCAGUCCAGACAGAUGUAAUGUUACACUAGACAGGGGAGAAGAUGGGUGACCAAUUACGUAAGCAGAAAAGUUGCUGGAGUACUUAAUGGUGUGGCAUGACUAACUUAGAACAUUCCAUAAUCUAUAUACCUAAGCUGUGAAGUCGGUGUACUUCAAAUAUGGGAGGUCCUAGGAGUAUAAGCGUAACACCCGCAAUAUAUUGUCUUCUCCAUCUUAUUUGUGUUCCAUUUGAUUUGUAUUUUCUCUGCCCUAUUCCAACAAUGUAAUCAAUUAAAUAGAAGUGUUCCAAUAUAAAAUAAAAAGGGUGUCUACAAGUACCCCAGAACUGUAAUUCCCAGAAUCUAAUAAAAAGCCCCUUCACUGGGAUGAGUUUCGUUUUGUUCAAAUGUGUUUCCGUCUUUGCAAAAGUUGAUGUGCGUAUUUUUGAGCAAACACUUAUUAUGAUUAUGAUUAUUACUAUUAUUACUAUUAUUACUUCUACUAUUAUUAUUAUUAUUAUUAUUAUUAUUAUUAUUAUUAUUAUUAUUAUUAUUAUUAUUAUUAUUAUUAUUAUUAUUGGUGCUGCUGCUGCUGCUGCUACUACUCUUUCUACUACUGCUGCUGCUGUUACUGCUACUGCUAGUGCCGCUGCUGCUGGUGGGUAAGUAUUAAGGUAGUUAUGCCAUCUUGUAUGUCACAAAAUAUUUUUCAGAAAAAUGAAGAUGUUGUGCAUGCUAUUCGUAUAAACAAAGGUAGUUGAGGGAUCCCCAGAACAUGUAUAUGCAUGUAACUUCAUUGACGGGAAUUCUUCUUCUUUGCAUGAGGAGCAAACACCAUCUUUGACAUUGACAAAGCGCCAGAAGCUACACUGGGGGCUCGACACGAAGGAGAGAUGGGAGAGGAAAGCCAACAUGUAAAAUCUCUGUUGAUGGAAGUUUCCAAUCUCCACUAAAAUCAAGGGUGAACUCUGUCUAUGUUAUUGAAUAGGCUUUUCAGAAGCAUGACUUCUGAAAGAAUUUGGAUCCUUCUUCACAAGAUGGGCAGAUAUUGUAAAUAAUGUAUAUGCUAUAUAAAGCUCACAUGCCCUUCAAAGGUGGUCAAGAUUCCAGUUUGUGCUUAUGGAUGAGAGUUAUGGAUUGUCGGAUGUGUAGGGGUGGUUCGAUGUCAAAUGAUCACUUGGAGAAUAUUUUAUUGAAAUUUGGCAAUUUUGGCUGGAGUGUGACAACUUACUGGUUGUUUCAGUGUAUGGGAGAGUUUUCUGUGACAAAGAUGAGGUGCCAAUUUAUUUGCAUUGGCCCAAGCUGUAUGCUGAACUGGUAUAAAAGAUACUGGGGAAAAAGGCUCGGCUUGCGGUUGGUAUUGAACCACAUCUGAGCUUGAAUUUGGCCUGACUUGUGGUGCAUCUUUUUACCAUUUUUAAUUGGUUUCUUAGAAUUCAAGUGAAUUUGGUUAGACCAAGCAAAUAAAAAAACAAGGAUAAUGAGGUAUAUUUGGUCCAGAACUUGCUGGUGUUGUGUACUUGGAUGAUGAUAUCCAUCUUUUAUUGAUGUUGCCACCUCUGGUGAAUUGAUUCUUAUGUAAAAUUUGCUCUUUUUUUAAACAGUUAUCUGUUUAUUUGUAAAUCAGAAAUACUGAACAGAUUACUUAUUGUCGAACUAACAUUACAAUGAAAGUGGAAAUUGCAAUUU